This 502-nucleotide ribosomal RNA is filed under the name uncultured Glomus. RNAcentral's name for it is "SSU rRNA". It matches the Rfam family "Eukaryotic small subunit ribosomal RNA", at positions 569 to 1076 of the family's 1831-position model. Lineage: Eukaryota; Fungi; Glomeromycota; Glomeromycetes; Glomerales; Glomeraceae. The record is from RNAcentral.
AGCAGCCGCGGUAAUUCCAGCUCCAAUAGCGUAUAUUAAAGUUGUUGCAGUUAAAAAGCUCGUAGUUGAAUUUCGGGAUCAAUAUAUUGGUCAUGCUUAGGUAUGUACUGGUAUUAUUGAUUUCUCCCUUCUGAAGAACCAUAAUGUCAUUAAUUUGAUGUCAUGGGGAAUCAGAACUGUUACUUUGAAAAAAUUAGAGUGUUUAAAGCAGGCUUUCGCUUGAAUACAUUAGCAUGGAAUAAUGAAAUAGGACGUUUGAUUCUAUUUUGUUGGUUUCUAGGAUCGACGUAAUGAUUAAUAGGGAUAGUUGGGGGCAUUAGUAUUCAAUUGUCAGAGGUGAAAUUCUUGGAUUUAUUGAAGACUAACUACUGCGAAAGCAUUUGCCAAGGAUGUUUUCAUUAAUCAAGAACGAAAGUUAGGGGAUCGAAGACGAUCAGAUACCGUCGUAGUCUUAACCAUAAACUAUGCCGACUAGGGAUCGGAUGAUGUUAAUUUUUAUGUA